Molecule: non-coding RNA, 28 nt
Filed under: Rattus norvegicus (Norway rat)
Lineage: Eukaryota; Metazoa; Chordata; Mammalia; Rodentia; Muridae
Source: RNAcentral
UGGAGCCAUUACUAGACUCACUGUCUGU